GACGAACGCUGGCGGCGCGCCUAACACAUGCAAGUCGAACGAGCGAGCGAGAGCUUGCUUUCUCGAGCGAGUGGCGAACGGGUGAGUAACGCGUGAGGAACCUGCCUCAAAGAGGGGGACAACAGUUGGAAACGACUGCUAAUACCGCAUAAGCCCACGGUGCCGCAUGGCACAGAGGGAAAAGGAGCAAUCCGCUUUGAGAUGGCCUCGCGUCCGAUUAGCUAGUUGGUGAGGUAAUGGCCCACCAAGGCGACGAUCGGUAGCCGGACUGAGAGGUUGAACGGCCACAUUGGGACUGAGACACGGCCCAGACUCCUACGGGAGGCAGCAGUGGGGAAUAUUGCACAAUGGGGGAAACCCUGAUGCAGCGACGCCGCGUAGAGGAAGAAGGUCUUCGGAUUGUAAACUCCUGUUGUUGGGGAAGAUAAUGACGGUACCCAACAAGGAAGUGACGGCUAACUACGUG
This 466-nucleotide ribosomal RNA is filed under the name uncultured bacterium. Its description in RNAcentral is "partial 16S ribosomal RNA". It matches the Rfam family "Bacterial small subunit ribosomal RNA", at positions 28 to 507 of the family's 1533-position model. The record is from RNAcentral.